RNAcentral lists this long non-coding RNA (2196 nucleotides) under Glycine max (soybean). Its description in RNAcentral is "long non-coding RNA (GMAX_LNC000097)". The record is from RNAcentral. Lineage: Eukaryota; Viridiplantae; Streptophyta; Magnoliopsida; Fabales; Fabaceae.
UCGUUCGUUAGAGAACCUUAAUAGGUUUGUCAAGUGGCUUAAAGAAUAAGGAUUGACAUUUUAUGCAUCUGUAUUAUUUAUGUUAGCUGAAAGAAAUCAGAUCAAAGUUGAUGCAGUAAGCUUUUCAAGCGAUUAAAAUGUCUACAAGGUGUCCAAAAAUGAAGAUAUAUAUGGCCAUGAAACUGAAACAAAAUUUAGUAAGCUUUUCAAGUGAUUGAAAUGUUUACAAGGCCACUUUCUUUGUUUUAGUCGUCUGGAUGCUUUAAGACAAAGACAGAUAAUGUAAUCUAGUAUCCUUUCUUCUUUUCAUUUGAUAUAUAUAGUCUUGUAUGACAUUGUAUUCAAGUUAAGAGUAUCUCUUAGUACUUUAAUUCUUAAAUAUGUUUUUCUUAUAAAAAAAAUCACGAAAAAUCAUUAAGAUGUAAAUACUUAUUUUUAUAUAUUUAAAGAAAUACCAUAGUCAAUAUCAAAACUGAUGCAAAACAGAUAAAAAACAUUGCUCCAAACUAGUAUAUCAUUCUUGGAUUCCAAGGCACAUCUCAAUUACACAGCCUACUCUGAGCAUUAUUUCACUUUUUUCUGCAAUUAACCUCACAGUGACUUUACAAAAUCUAGUUAACUAACAUUAGUUAAUGGAGUCCAGUGGCAUCAAUUGAUUCAUGUGGCCAAACCUACUCAACCCAGUAAGUGGGAUAUAGUAGCAGAGAUGUUCAAUUUCUAUCUACUGAACCUACUUUGCAAGUAAGUAACAGAGAGGUUUCCUUUCUAUCUCUGCCUCUCACAUACCUAACUAAUAUAUGGAAUAUGUUGUAUCAGUUAUUUCUCAAAACUUUAAAUAACCAGUGUUUGAAAUGAAUUAACUUAACUGUGCUGAAUAUGCAGAAAUAAAACUUGGGGUUUGAUUGUAAGACUUUUUUUUUUGCCAAGGGUACUGUUGCUUACUUGAGACCAUUUAUGUUGUUAAAUAGAUAACACCUCUAUGCAGCAGAAAAGAGUACAACAAAGCCAAUGGAAGAGGUUUAUAUUCAGGUCAGGUGUAGCACAGGUUAAAGUUCACAUACAGUUUCUGAUAGUACAUUGGGAACGUACCUUGGAUCUGUAAAGGCAGUUUUAAUUUUAGUUUGAAUAAGUUAAUUGAUAAGAAUAUGUUAUUCUGCCGUUAGUGAAAUAGUUAGUUUCAGAUUUUAUUGUUUAGUUAAUAGAAGCUCCCAAAAUCACAAACAUGAUUUCUAUUCAGUUGUAAUUUUUUUAUACGGCUGAAAUUACAAACACUGGAAAGAAGAAAAACAAAACACAAGCUAUCUACUCCUUAAAAAAUAACUACUCCAAAGCGCAUCAGCCAAAGAAGGCUUCAUUAAGCCUGGUGCACAGAAUGUAGUUGUCUCUGCUACAUCAGGCAAAGAACAUAUGAAGAUGGAGGUGUAACUUCAACUAGCUAUUUUCUCAUUACCCUCUUACACAUUAGAAAUUUGUGCAUAUAAAUUUUUGUUCAAAUUAAUGGUAAAUUGGUUACUAGGGUCAUGAUGACAAAAUAAUUGAACAUCUAUAGUUAUUAUAAAAUGCUAAUAUUGUACUGUGACAUGCGACUCUUUUACAAGGGAUGCUAUCAGAAACCUCAAAUAAAGCAUAGACAUACGACUCUUUUUGCAUGACUUAUUACUUGGCAUUAACCGUUUCACACUGUUUUGCUCAUGCUUUCAAUAAUGAAACUCAUGUCAUUACAAACUCACAUGUUGAAUUAUUCAUUCAUAUCUUAUAAAUCUGAAUUUUUCUUUGUAUAGUUUUGAACUCAGUUGGACAAAGCAACCUUGCUGGGUGACAUGAUUAUACAUUUGAAAGAGCUGAAAACAAAUGCAGCACAAGCUAGUGAAGGCCUAAUGAUACCAAAGAACAAUGAUAAAAUAAGAGUCGAAGAAGGAGGAUUUCUACAUUCAGUUCUUUAUCUAUAAGAGAUUUCUUAUAAGAACUUUUCUUUUUAAAUGUGUAAUUUAAAUCUCCAUAUGCAUAGCAUAUAUCUAAAUAUGAUGAGGGAGUGAGUGAGAUUAGCAAAUAGCAAUUUCACUUGUUAGAGAAGCUGUACAUUCUGAAAAUCAUGUGAAUCUGGUUGUACAUGUAUCAGAAGCAUAAUAGCAACUUUACUCAGGUUAUGCGCACUUGCUGUUGUUGAGUCAUUCAGCAUUGCUACUCAGGAUUACU